UACGUAGGGUGCAAGCGUUGUCCGGAAUUAUUGGGCGUAAAGAGCUCGUAGGCGGUCUGUCGCGUCUGCUGUGAAAACUCAGGGCUUAACCCUGAGCUUGCAGUGGGUACGGGCAGACUAGAGUGCGGUAGGGGAGACUGGAAUUCCGUGGUGUAGCGGUGAAAUGCGCAGAUAGUCAGGAGGAACACCGGUGGCGAAGGCGGGUCUCUGGGCCGUAACUGACGCUGGAGGAGCGGAAAGCAUGGGGAGCGAACAGG
This 257-nucleotide ribosomal RNA is filed under the name uncultured bacterium. Its description in RNAcentral is "partial 16S ribosomal RNA". It matches the Rfam family "Bacterial small subunit ribosomal RNA", at positions 524 to 776 of the family's 1533-position model. The record is from RNAcentral.